GAUGAACGCUAGCGGGAGGCCUAACACAUGCAAGCCGAGCGGUAUUGUUUCUUCGGAAAUGCGAGAGCGGCGUACGGGUGCGUAACACGUGUGCAACCUGCCUUUAUCUGGGGGAUAGCCUUUCGAAAGGAAGAUUAAUACUCCAUAAUAUAUUGAACGGCAUCGUUUAAUAUUGAAAGCUCCGGCGGCUAGAGAUGGGCACGCGCAAGAUUAGCUAGUUGGUGAGGUAACGGCUCACCAAGGCGAUGAUCUUUAGGGGGCCUGAGAGGGUGAUCCCCCAAACUGGUACUGAGACACGGACCAGACUCCUACGGGAGGCAGCAGUGAGGAAUAUUGGGCAAUGGGUGCAAGCCUGAACCAGCCAUCCCGCGUGAAGGACGACUGCCCUAUGGGUUGUAAACUUCUUUUGUAUAGGGAUAAACCUACCCUCGAGAGGGUAGCUGAAGGUACUAUACGAAUAAGCACCGGCUAACUCCGUG
RNAcentral lists this ribosomal RNA (479 nucleotides) under uncultured bacterium. RNAcentral's name for it is "partial 16S ribosomal RNA". It matches the Rfam family "Bacterial small subunit ribosomal RNA", at positions 28 to 507 of the family's 1533-position model. The record is from RNAcentral.